AUCAUGUCAGCUCUCACUCACUGGAUCUCAGAUCAGUGUUUGGUCUGGAGGUCAGAGUUCAUCUGUGAGAAUAAGCUGCUUCUACACUGUGAUGAAGGGACAAAUUAAAAAACCAUCUGCUCACUCUGAUCCAGUGACAGUUACAGUCCAGAUUUCAACAUCAACCAUUAAACAUACGAGUACAACAGCCACGACAACCUCUUUAACUGUAAUGUCCACUUCUGAAACCACAACAUACAGUAAAACUGUAGACCUUCAUUCCAAGACAAACCUUCCAACCAACACAGAAAAGGAAACAAUCUUUUCAACAUCAAUAUCCACUCAAACUCAAACUCAAACUCAAACUCAAGCUUCACAAUUGGACACUGUCAUUUCCACAUCUGAAACCCCAGUGUACCGCACAACAGUGGCUCAUACUAAAGGUCCACACUCACCAACAUACAAAGAUCUAUGGUUUAUAGUGCUGGUUUUCACUGGUGUUGCUGUCAUUUUGUCUGGACUCAUGGGACUCAUCUGUCUCUGCCGGUUUGCAAGUAAAAAGAGAAGAAAACGGUAAGUUUUAUAUUCAUUCAAUUUAGUAGUAGGCCUAUAUGUUUGUUAGUAGUCUAUAUUGUAGUCCAGG
Molecule: long non-coding RNA, 622 nt
Filed under: Sinocyclocheilus grahami
Lineage: Eukaryota; Metazoa; Chordata; Actinopteri; Cypriniformes; Cyprinidae
Description: lncRNA (ENSSGRG00000038355.1)
Source: RNAcentral